AAGUCAGUUGUGAAAGCCUUCCGCUUAACGGAAGAACGGCAUCUGAUACUACAGGGCUUGAGUACGGGAGGGGAGAGUGGAACUUCUGGUGGAGCGGUGAAAUGCGUAGAUAUCAGAAGGAACACCGGCGGCGAAAGCGACUCUCUGGUCCGAAACUGACGCUGAGUGUGCGAAAGCUAGGGGAGCAAACGGGAUUAGAUACCCCGGUAGUCCUAGCCGUAAACGAU
Molecule: ribosomal RNA, 227 nt
Filed under: uncultured bacterium
Lineage: Bacteria
Description: partial 16S ribosomal RNA
Rfam family: Bacterial small subunit ribosomal RNA
Source: RNAcentral